GAUCCUGCCAGUAGUCAUAUGCUUGUCUC
RNAcentral lists this non-coding RNA (29 nucleotides) under Drosophila yakuba. RNAcentral also lists the same sequence under 2 other names. The record is from RNAcentral. Lineage: Eukaryota; Metazoa; Arthropoda; Insecta; Diptera; Drosophilidae.